Molecule: long non-coding RNA, 1699 nt
Filed under: Anas platyrhynchos platyrhynchos (common mallard)
Lineage: Eukaryota; Metazoa; Chordata; Aves; Anseriformes; Anatidae
Description: lncRNA (ENSAPLG00000021551.1)
Source: RNAcentral
GAAAGAAGGCCUGUCAUAUAUUGUAUAUGUCACAAGCAAAAUAAAUUGCAUAAGUAGCAUCAUCUGGCUUCUUGCUGCCAAAGAGGUAAAACAUUCAGCACAUGAAGUAGCAGCUGUGGCAGUGCUGAAAGCUGGUGAAACCGUUUUGAGAGCUUUAGUAAUGGAAGUAAGUAGCAGGUGUGGAGACAUCCUUGCUACUGACUUGCUUUCUGGGGUGAUUUGAUGAAUCUACCUGUUACUAUUCCUGCCAAAAUAAGAAAUGCUGUUGUUCUAUUUAACUUGCCACCAUCUUUGGCAAAUAGGUCAAUAAUUUUUGUUUGGAGUGACAGAAUUCAAGAGAUGGAGAGAGUCCAAAAGAAGCAAAACAAUGCUAGUGCAUACCACUGUGACUCUACCAAAUCAGUGCAGAUGAAUUUUGUGAAGAAACAUCAACUCUCAGGAAGACUUAAAAAAUACAUAUAUUACCAGAGACUGAGCAAGUACUUGAGGUCAGAGUGUGAUAUCAUUUACACUAGCAUCAAUCUGGAUUACCCCCAUUGGUUCCACAGCAGUUGUCUUCAGUAGAGAUACUCUGGAUUUAGAACCAUGCAAGUAAAACAACCAUUUAACAUACUGGACACUGUGAAGUGAUAUGCAGAUAAAAGCAGUCAGAGUCAAACUCUGCCCCGGGUUAUAUCCGUGCAGCUCCUCUGAAGUCACUAAGUGCUUUCUUUGUCUCCCUAAUGCUUUGCAAUAUUUCUUGUCUCUUGUAUAAUACUUUUCUUUCCCUGACACAGACUCCUGCAGUUCUCUCCAAAAAAAUGGUGACGAACUAGCUGAGCAGUGACCUUUCAUAAUGAGAAAUACCACAACACUGUCUGUCUCACCAUAUUUUAACUGUUUCCUUUGCUGUACAACUGGCAACAAGGGGCUGCUUUUCACAUGUUUCGCAGUUCAGCAAUGGUAGCCUACAGCUUUUCAGCUAUUUUGACUGGUUUCAUAUUUGCAUUUGAAUGAGAAUCAGCCUGAUACUCUUUUUUCCAAACACAUAGGAAAAAAAAUGUGCCUUCUAUGUUACAUGCAUAAAAAGUGUGUGAAAUUAAUGGAGACUGUGCACAUAAUUGUGAAGAAAGAUGAAUUCUAAACCUAGUGAAAUUACAGUGGGAUGGCAUGGUAGGUUACCAAGGCUGUUGAACUGAAAUCUAUAUCUGUAUAAAUAGAAUAUAUAUAUAAGAGUAGCCGUCCUAUAACUGGUUUUUUUUUUUUUUUUUUUUUUUUUUUUUUUUUUUUUGAGAAAGAGAGAGAGAGAGAGGUACAGCAUCAGAGAAAAUCUGAUCAUCUCCUCUGUGCUACUUUUGUGGUUUUUGUGUUUCUGAAGGGAAGACAUUUCCUAUAGCUUGCCUAAAUACUGAGGACACUAAUGAAUUGCUUUAGAUAAGAGCAGUGUGUCCACCCAUUUUCAGCUUUUUGUCCUGGCAACUCUGCUUUUCUCUGUAGAUAAUGCUGCAGCAUUAUAACUCCAGACCAGCUAAACUGAGUGCUUAAGAGACCAUCUAUUUUAUAUGUUCCCCCAGAUUUUCUUAUCCUUCUUCACAUAGUAACAUAAUCAGAGUCUCGGGGGGUUUGACAUUGAGACAUACCAGAUUUUAAAAGUAUUCAAUCUUAAAAAUCUUAAAAAAAAAAAAAUAAAUAAAUCUUAGAAAUCUUUUAAUCUUUAAAA